GAUGAAGAACGUAGCGAAAUGCGAUAAGUAGUGUGAAUUGCAGAAUUCAGUGAAUCAUCGAAUCUUUGAACGCACAUUGCGCCCUUUGGUAUUCCAAAGGGCAUGCCUGUUCGAGCGUCAUUUGUACCCUCAAGCUUUGCUUGGUGUUGAGCGUCUUGUCUCUAGCUUUGCUGGAGACUCGCCUUAAAGUAAUUGGCAGCCGGCCUACUGGUUUCGGAGCGCAGCACAAGUCGCACUCUCUAUCAGCAAAGGUCUAGCAUCCAUUAAGCCCUUUUUUUUCAACUUUUGACCUCGGAUCAGGUAGGGAUACCCGCUGAACUUAAGCAUAUCAAUAAGCGGAGGA
RNAcentral lists this unclassified non-coding RNA (343 nucleotides) under soil metagenome. RNAcentral describes it as "partial contains 5.8S ribosomal RNA, internal transcribed spacer 2, and large subunit ribosomal RNA". The stretch from base 1 to 120 matches the Rfam family "5.8S ribosomal RNA", at positions 35 to 154 of the family's 154-position model. The record is from RNAcentral.